Molecule: non-coding RNA, 394 nt
Organism: Neogale vison (American mink)
Lineage: Eukaryota; Metazoa; Chordata; Mammalia; Carnivora; Mustelidae
Source: the annotation of a RefSeq genome assembly
UUCACUUCUCAAAAUGAGGUUCCCUGCUCAGCUCUUUGUACUGCUAAUGCUUUGGUUUCCUGGAUCCAGCGGGGAAAUUGUGAUGACACAGACCCCACUGUCCCUGCCCAUCACCCCUGGAGAGCCGGCCUCCAUCUCCUGCAAGGCCAGUCAGACCCUCCUGUACAGUAAUGGAAAAACCUAUUUGCAUUGGUACCUGCAGAAGCCAGGCCAAUCCCCACAGCUCCUGAUCUACGAGGUUUCCAACCAUUUCUCUGGGGUCUCAGACAGGUUCAGUGGCAGCGGGUCAGGGACAGAUUUCACGCUGAGGAUCAGCAGGGUGGAGGCUGAUGAUGUGGGAGUUUAUUACUGUGGGCAAACUACAGAGUAUCCUCCACAGUGCUUCAGACCCUAA